This 740-nucleotide ribosomal RNA is filed under the name Nocardioides flava. RNAcentral's name for it is "bacterial SSU rRNA". It matches the Rfam family "Bacterial small subunit ribosomal RNA", at positions 79 to 832 of the family's 1533-position model. Lineage: Bacteria; Bacillati; Actinomycetota; Actinomycetes; Propionibacteriales; Nocardioidaceae. The record is from RNAcentral.
UUUCGGGGGUACUCGAGCGGCGAACGGGUGAGUAACACGUGAGUAAUCUGCCCUGCGCUCUGGGAUAGCCACCGGAAACGGUGAUUAAUACCGGAUAGGACCACUUCACGCAUGUGAUGGUGGUGGAAAGUUUUUUCGGCGCAGGAUGUGCUCGCGGCCUAUCAGCUUGUUGGUGAGGUAACGGCUCACCAAGGCUUUGACGGGUAACCGGCCUGAGAGGGUGACCGGUCACACUGGGACUGAGACACGGCCCAGACUCCUACGGGAGGCAGCAGUGGGGAAUAUUGGACAAUGGGCGGAAGCCUGAUCCAGCAACGCCGCGUGAGGGAUGACGGCCUUCGGGUUGUAAACCUCUUUCAGUACCGACGAAGCGAAAGUGACGGUAGGUACAGAAGAAGGACCGGCCAACUACGUGCCAGCAGCCGCGGUAAUACGUAGGGUCCGAGCGUUGUCCGGAAUUAUUGGGCGUAAAGGGCUCGUAGGCGGUUUGUCGCGUCGGGAGUGAAAACACCGGGCUUAACUCGGUGCUUGCUUUCGAUACGGGCAGACUAGAGGUAUGCAGGGGAGAAUGGAAUUCCUGGUGUAGCGGUGAAAUGCGCAGAUAUCAGGAGGAACACCGGUGGCGAAGGCGGUUCUCUGGGCAUUACCUGACGCUGAGGAGCGAAAGUGUGGGGAGCGAACAGGAUUAGAUACCCUGGUAGUCCACACCGUAAACGUUGGGCGCUAGGUGUGGGGCCUAU